CUACGGGAUGCAGCAGUGAGGAAUAUUGGUCAAUGGGCGGGAGCCUGAACCAGCCAAGUCGCGUGAAGGAAGAAGGAUCUAUGGUUCGUAAACUUCUUUUGCAGGGGAAUAAAGUGCAGGACGUGUCCUGUUUUGUAUGUACCCUGAGAAUAAGGAUCGGCUAACUCCGUGCCAGCAGCCGCGGUAAUACGGAGGAUCCGAGCGUUAUCCGGAUUUAUUGGGUUUAAAGGGUGCGUAGGUGGUUUGAUAAGUCAGCGGUGAAAGUUUGCAGCUUAACUGUAAAAAUGCCGUUGAAACUGUCGGACUUGAGUGUAAAUGAGGUAGGCGGAAUGCGUGGUGUAGCGGUGAAAUGCAUAGAUAUCACGCAGAACUCCGAUUGCGAAGGCAGCUUACUAAGCUACAACUGACACUGAAGCACGAAAGCGUGGGGAUCAAACAGGAUUAGAUACCCGCGUAGUC
Molecule: ribosomal RNA, 459 nt
Filed under: uncultured bacterium
Lineage: Bacteria
Description: partial 16S ribosomal RNA
Rfam family: Bacterial small subunit ribosomal RNA
Source: RNAcentral